Molecule: ribosomal RNA, 239 nt
Filed under: uncultured bacterium
Lineage: Bacteria
Description: partial 16S ribosomal RNA
Rfam family: Bacterial small subunit ribosomal RNA
Source: RNAcentral
CCGGCGAACGGGUGCGUAACACGUGAGCAACCUACCGAUUUGCGGGGGAUAGCCGGCCCAACGGCCGGGUAAUACCGCAUACGCUCGUAAGGCCUCCUGGUCUAACGAGGAAACCUCCGGGGCAAAUCGAGGGGCUCGCGGCCUAUCAGCUAGUUGGCGAGGUCACGGCUCACCAAGGCGACGACGGGUAGCUGGUCUGAGAGGAUGGCCAGCCACAUUGGGACUGAGAAACGGCCCAG